CUUGGGAUCUGUAUAACUUCAGGGCAUAAAAAGUAAUUGAAGUACUCCCUUACAGUACUUCAGCCUACAGCAACUGAAAUGACCUGCAGUGCUAUCUUCUGAACAAAGCUCUGUAUUGAAGAACAACCACUAAGGGGCUUGUGUUUUACCACUGACAGGCUAGAAUUGCAUAAAGUUAAAUAUCUAACCCAUAGACUGAGAAUUUAGAUGGAUGCUACAGGUUAAGGUGACCAUAUUCUGACUUCCCAAAAAAAAGGGCAUGAGUCGCAUGAAGUUAAUUUUGAAAGUUUUCUGGGUUGGAUCAAGUGUCUUUUACGCUCAUCUAACUCUGUAAGUCCACGUAACACAAAAUCGAAACCUACGUACAAAACCGCAGACAUUAGACGGAUUUUAUAAACUUCCCUGGAAAAAGCCGGAAAGCCCCCAAAAUAGAGGACAUGUCCAGGUAACAGAGGACAUAUGGUCACCCUAAUAUAGGUGUUCACUGUCUGUGAAUCCAAAAGAUUUAGAGCUCCCCCUGCUGACAAGUCAGGCUUAAAAGUCAAAAUAACACAGGCAAACCAAUGGAUUUCAACUAUGUUGGUCUUUAAUGUGAAAUAAAUAAAGUCAAAUAUAUAGAGUCAAAUAAUCUAUUACGUUGAAGAAAAACCAAUGCAGAAGUAUUGCAGUUCCUUGAGUGUCCACUUGAGGCAGCCAGGGGAACCACAUUGAUAUCUCAACACCGGAUAUAAACAUGUCUAAAACUGAUUUUGGUCUGAUCAGGAUGGGGGGUUUUUUGUUUGUUUUUUUUGUAUACCAUGUUGAGAUUACAGAUUUUGCUUAAUUUUGCAUAAUCAAAGGGUAGUUGAUUUGACUGACAGGUGUGCACAUUACAGCCAAAGGCCCACCUUAACGCUGCUUCUUUGCUUGCUUAUUGCCUGGUAUAUCAAAAAUGCCAUUGUUGGGCUUUAGAAAUAAGUGGGUCGCAGCAUUUCUGGUUCGUUUCCAUAGACAUGUAUCCCAUAGAUUUGUAAUUGAAAGAAAAAAGUGGACCCAUCUUUAUUGGGUGCAACCAUUGCAGCCAUUUUUUAACCUCCUGAAUAAAAGAAGAUAGUCUUUGAACUUUUGGCCCCAGGUCACUCAAAUCAGGCCGGGGUUGAAAAAAAAGCUCAAUCCUCCUUCUGUUUUAAAAUUCAUCAAUAAAACAUUGGAGUCUAGUCUGAAAUGCAGUGUGAGUAAGCGUGCAGAUUUGUGGGCACUAAUCUCUUAGUGAAAGAAGUCAAAGUUGCAUGCCAGAAAGGCAAAAUAAAAGACACAUCAUUUUUAAUGACAUUCCCUGAUUCAAAAUAACAUAUCUGGCUCUCAAACUCGGUUAACUGACCUGAGGAUAAAUGUCUCUGAUUCAGUGCUGGCAGAGCAGCCGAAUGAGGAGUAAAAUUAUCUCCUCCUAUAUAUUCCUCUCUGCAGACUCCGCGCCGCGCUGCUACUGAGGGUUCAUAGAAAGUGCUGUGACACUUUUUCUAAUCCAAACUCAGAAAGUGCUGCUGUUGCAUUUUUAACCGCUGUCUGAUGUUUCAUCAUUAGCUCUGUCAUAGUUUUCGGAAAUAUUUGCAGUCUGUUGGCCUCGCUUUUACCUCCAGGUUUGGUACCAUGUUUCUGUUUGUGUUCACUCUGAGCCAAGGUAAAGGUUGGACUAUUUUUAACCUCAGUUUGUGCUGUGCCAUUUAAUAGACAAUGAAAGUACUACAAAUUCAGUCCAUCACUGCUGUGUGUUUAGUUAAAGAAAUAGAGAUUUGGUGUUUCUCCUCAAACAACCACGGAAAUUCAGUCUUGUGGUCUCACUUGGUGUACUAUUUGUAUUGGUUAAGUAAGUUGUGAUCAACAAAUCUUUGCAGCUGACAUAGGCUGAGGGUUGGUUUGAUUUAGGGGCCAGUGUAAGCCGCUUUACAAGGCAGGGUCACCAAAUCCAACGGGGUAGGGUGGGUCAUUUUAAAAGAUAGGGUUAACCAUUCUGUCAAGGGCCAGGAUGGGUCAUUAUAUAUGGGAGAAGGCUUGACUUACAGUAGGAAGGCAGACUAACAAAUUUGGAGGUUAUUCUGACAAUCUAGGGAGGGGUAUGGUAAACCAUUCCAGUGCAGAGUAGGGUAGCAAAUCCAGGUGGGGCAGUAUAGGUCAAACUGAUGGGCCACAGUAGGCUUUUCUUAUUGGGCAGAGAAUCCCAAUCUGAUAAGAUAGAGUAGUUGAUUCGGACCAGGCCGAGUUAGUCAAAGUAAUGGGUAAGGGAAGGCCAUUCUGACAAGAAAGGGUGAGAAAACUUUAAAAGGUAGGGUAGCCAUUUUAAAGGGAUAGGGUUGACCAGACAAGAGGGAAGAAAGGCCAGAGUGGGGAUGCCAAUCUGAUGGGUCAUUGUAGUCUGAUCUGACUGGACAGAGUAGGUCAUUUUGAUGGACCAAGGAGAAAUAUGCUGUGCUGGUGAUAGUGGGUCAGCCAGGGAAAAGAAAAAUAUACAGUACAUGAAGAACCAUUGGUGUAAGCAAUAGGCAUAACUAGUGAUGUGUCUUUCAGUGCCAAGGCUUCGGAGUGUGUGCCGAGUAAUUCCCGGCUUAGCAUGUAUCAGGGCUUGUGUUGGUGAUGUAUGUGAACAUGUUGGAAGCCUCGAAAGCCAGCCGUACCACGUGACUGAUUCAAGAAAGGGUUCACGUGUUUGGCAGAUGACUCAAAAUGUAACAGACUGCAAAACGCUGCCUGUUAUAUUUACAAAUAAUUAUACCCCCACAAUCCAUAGAUUUGAGAAUUGUUGAAAAAUUGUCUUUAAACAAAAGUAAAUGAGAUGUUUACGUGUUCUAUGUUGUCCCCAUAACAAAAGCACAGUGACAAAUCAAGCAGCACAAGCACAUUAACAGCAGAGCUAAUGAAGCACAAUAAUGAAGCUUCAGCCCAUGAGUCAAGCAAAUGGAUGGAAAGCUUCAAUGCUUUAAGAGGCUUCAUCUCAUCACCAUUAGGCAUAACUCUCUGGUAUGGGCAAAACACUUGUUGCACAUUUAUAGUGUGCUGAAUGGGUCAAAUGCAAACCCUUUCAACAAAACAUCAAAUGACUUUGCCCAUGACUUUUUCAUUCUCUCAGGAAAAUGGGCAGAGCCCUCCUUUCAAUACCCCUUAGCUCUUGCCCUGGGCAAAUCCACAAACAAACCAUAGGGGUUUAAGGCACAACUUACCACAACAGAACACCAAAUUCAUCAAUCAAUCACACAUUUAAACAUGAACAAAAAGGCACAAAAAGCCCUCCAUACGGCUGUGACAUUAUUCAUUUAAAACCAAGGGUGACAGAAAGCCGGUAUGCAGCGGCAGGCAGCGGUGCACCACACCAGGAAGACAGAAACAGCAGUUUACAGCCGGUACGCAACGGUAAACAAACUUUCGUGUACAUAUAUGUCAGCUACAUUUGCUUACCGUGUUGCCGCACGUCAGUCCGCACUCUGCAUUGUAACCGUAGUAAUCCAAUAGGACAAUGCUGCUCGCGAGUGAGUCGUAUUUGUUUCCAAACAAAAUCCAAAAUUGGGAACGUUCGGUGCGCACUUUUGAUUGGACGCUGGUUGCCGAGGCGCUGGGGCCCGCCUCCCG
RNAcentral lists this long non-coding RNA (3600 nucleotides) under Xyrichtys novacula (pearly razorfish). The record is from RNAcentral. Lineage: Eukaryota; Metazoa; Chordata; Actinopteri; Labriformes; Labridae.